RNAcentral lists this long non-coding RNA (519 nucleotides) under Vigna radiata. RNAcentral's name for it is "long non-coding RNA (VRAD_LNC003887)". The record is from RNAcentral. Lineage: Eukaryota; Viridiplantae; Streptophyta; Magnoliopsida; Fabales; Fabaceae.
AAAAAUAAAUUAUUUUUGUUAUAAGUUUUUACUUUUUACUGAUUAAACCUUCUUAAACUUCUUUCUUUUUGCAGUGGUGUCCUUGGUCUCUAUGAGUCAUUUUGAAUUGAAGCUGAUUGGAUUGAAAUUAGGCCAGCAUAGAGAACUUUUGGGCUGCACUUGGAAGGAGUAGGCUGAAAUAAAGUUGAAGCUGUGUGAAGAAGGAAUUCUGCUGCACUCAUAUGGAUUGGUCGUGGUUGAAGAUUGUUGAAAGGGUGUUGUUCUCUACACCUCCCCAAAUGGGACCUGUAUCUCCCCGUUAAUUUAAUUUAUUUCAAAAAUAUUCUACACCUUCCCGCUAUUUUUUUUAUUCCAAAAAUACCCUACACCUUCCCACUAUCCUUAACAAUCUUUCUCUUUCUCUCUCUAUAUUAAUGGAGCAUUUACAUGGCUCAUUAAUGGAGCAUUUACAUGACUUAAAUUUGAAUAUAUUUUCUUAAAUAAUUUUGAUUCAAUCUUAUUUUCGUUGUUGAAUAUAUU